GCUAGCGGGAUGCUUCAAACAUGCAAGUCGAACGAGAAAGUUUCCUUCGGGAAGCGAGUAAAGUGGCGCACGGGUGCGUAACACGUAACUAACGUGCCCCUUCGCUGGGGACAACUCCGGGAAACCGGAGCUAAUACCGAAUGAUCUGACGGAGUCUGCGGGCUCUGUCGGUAAAGCCGUAAGGCGCGAAGGGAUCGGGUUGCGGUCCAUUAGCUUGUUGGUAGGGUAACGGCCUACCAAGGCGACGAUGGAUAGCUGGUCUGAGAGGAUGAUCAGCCACACUGGAACUGAAACACGGUCCAGACUCCCACGGGAGGCAGCAGUUGGGAAUAUUGGACAAUGGGCGAAAGCCUGAUCCAGCAAUCCCGCGUGAGUGAUGAAGGCCCUCGGGUCGUAAAGCUCUUUCAGGGGGGAAGAAAUUUGACGGUACCCCCAGAAGAAGCACCGGCUAACUACGUGCCAGCAGCCGCGGUAAUACGUAGGGUGCAAGCGUUGUUCGGAAUCAUUGGGCGUAAAGCGCGUGUAGGCGGUUCGUUAAGUCUGAUGUGAAAGCCCGGGGCUUAACUCCGGAAGUGCAUUGGAUACUGGCGAACUCGAGGACGAGAGAGGGAAGUGGAAUUCCUGGUGUA
Molecule: ribosomal RNA, 629 nt
Filed under: uncultured bacterium
Lineage: Bacteria
Description: bacterial SSU rRNA
Rfam family: Bacterial small subunit ribosomal RNA
Source: RNAcentral